RNAcentral lists this ribosomal RNA (451 nucleotides) under uncultured bacterium. RNAcentral's name for it is "bacterial SSU rRNA". It matches the Rfam family "Bacterial small subunit ribosomal RNA", at positions 354 to 796 of the family's 1533-position model. The record is from RNAcentral.
GUGGGGAAUAUUGGACAAUGGGGGGAACCCUGAUCCAGCCAUGCCGCGUGUGUGAAGAAGGCCUUUUGGUUGUAAAGCACUUUAAGCGAGGAGGAGGCUACCGAGAUUAAUACUCUUGGAUAGUGGACGUUACUCGCAGAAUAAGCACCGGCUAACUCUGUGCCAGCAGCCGCGGUAAUACAGAGGGUGCAAGCGUUAAUCGGAUUUACUGGGCGUAAAGCGCGCGUAGGUGGCCAAUUAAGUCAAAUGUGAAAUCCCCGAGCUUAACUUGGGAAUUGCAUUCGAUACUGGUUGGCUAGAGUAUGGGAGAGGAUGGUAGAAUUCCAGGUGUAGCGGUGAAAUGCGUAGAGAUCUGGAGGAAUACCGAUGGCGAAGGCAGCCAUCUGGCCAAAUACUGACACUGAGGUGCGAAAGCAUGGGGAGCAAACAGGAUUAGAUACCCUAGUAGUCC